UACAGAGGGUGCAAGCGUUAAUCGGAAUUACUGGGCGUAAAGAGCACGUAGGUGGGACUGUAAGUCAUUUGUGAAAGACCAGGGCUUAACCUUGGGGAGUCAAGUGAGACUGUAGACCUAGAGUACAGGAGAGGGGAGUGGAAUUUCCGGUGUAGCGGUGAAAUGCGUAGAUAUCGGAAGGAACACCCGUGGCGAAGGCGGCUCUCUGGACUGAUACUGACACUGAGGUGCGAAAGCGUGGGGAGCAAACAGG
This 253-nucleotide ribosomal RNA is filed under the name uncultured bacterium. RNAcentral's name for it is "partial 16S ribosomal RNA". It matches the Rfam family "Bacterial small subunit ribosomal RNA", at positions 524 to 776 of the family's 1533-position model. The record is from RNAcentral.